ACUCCUACGGGAGGCAGCAGUGGGGAAUCUUGCGCAAUGGGCGAAAGCCUGACGCAGCAACGCCGCGUGCGGGAAGAAGGCUUUCGGGCUGUAAACCGCUUUCAGUAGGAACGAAACUGACGGUACCUACAGAAGAAGGAGCGGCCAACUAUGUGCCAGCAGCCGCGGUGACACAUAGGCUCCAAGCGUUGUCCGGAUUUAUUGGGCGUAAAGAGCUCGUAGGCGGUUGAGUAAGUCGGGGUGUGAAAACUUUGGGCUUAACCCAAAGAGGCCACUCGAUACUGUUCAACUUGAGUUUGGUAGGGGAGUGGGGAAUUCCUUGUGUAGCGGUGAAAUGCGCAGAUAUAAGGAGGAACACCGGUGGCGAAGGCGCCACUCUGGGCCAAUACUGACGCUGAGGAGCGAAAGCGUGGGGAGCAAACAGGAUUAGAUACCCUGGUAGGUCAGUC
RNAcentral lists this ribosomal RNA (449 nucleotides) under uncultured bacterium. RNAcentral's name for it is "bacterial SSU rRNA". It matches the Rfam family "Bacterial small subunit ribosomal RNA", at positions 335 to 800 of the family's 1533-position model. The record is from RNAcentral.